GCCGCUGUGGCGGAACUGGCAGACGCGUACCGUUCAGGUCGGUAUGGAGAUUUCUCCGUGCAGGUUCGAUUCCUGUCAGCGGCAUCA
RNAcentral lists this transfer RNA (87 nucleotides) under Fructobacillus fructosus. Its description in RNAcentral is "tRNA-Leu". It matches the Rfam family "tRNA". From Rfam's summary of the family: Transfer RNA (tRNA) molecules are approximately 80 nucleotides in length. Their secondary structure includes four short double-helical elements and three loops (D, anti-codon, and T loops). The record is from RNAcentral. Lineage: Bacteria; Bacillati; Bacillota; Bacilli; Lactobacillales; Lactobacillaceae.